GUUAAAUGCAUAGGUCAUAAUCUAAAUGUACCUUAUUUGUAGUGAAUUUCCACAUAAAAUAGUAGACAAAGAAAGAGUACUUAACUAAUAAGAUUUGUACAGGCAUGAUAUGGGCCUUGCACAUGUGAUGGGUCAAGCCCAUCAUUGUGCUUUGGCCAAUACUAUGAUAUGAAAUUCUGAGAAAUCCUGCAUGGCUUGUCUUGCAUAUGCAUCAUCUCCUUCAUCUUACCAUGAUACUUUCCCUAUCUAUUUCAUCUGGUUUAGUGUCAACGAUUAUUUUCACCACUAAAUUUGUAUGUUACCCAGCACUAUACACAGGCCCACUUGACGUAAAAGAGUAGUUUUUUUCUUACGAGUAGAGCUCCAUUUACUGUUCCUUU
This 380-nucleotide unclassified non-coding RNA is filed under the name Hevea brasiliensis (rubber tree). Lineage: Eukaryota; Viridiplantae; Streptophyta; Magnoliopsida; Malpighiales; Euphorbiaceae. The record is from RNAcentral.